GAUGAACGCUGGCGGCGUGCCUAAUACAUGCAAGUCGAGCGAACAGAUAAGGAGCUUGCUCCUUUGACGUUAGCGGCGGACGGGUGAGUAACACGUGGGUAACCUACCUAUAAGACUGGGAUAACUUCGGGAAACCGGAGCUAAUACCGGAUAACAUUUGGAACCGCAUGGUUCUAAAGUGAAAGAUGGUUUUGCUAUCACUUAUAGAUGGACCCGCGCCGUAUUAGCUAGUUGGUAAGGUAACGGCUUACCAAGGCGACGAUACGUAGCCGACCUGAGAGGGUGAUCGGCCACACUGGAACUGAGACACGGUCCAGACUCCUACGGGAGGCAGCAGUAGGGAAUCUUCCGCAAUGGGCGAAAGCCUGACGGAGCAACGCCGCGUGAGUGAUGAAGGGUUUCGGCUCGUAAAACUCUGUUAUUAGGGAAGAACAAACGUGUAAGUAACUGUGCACGUCUUGACGGUACCUAAUCAGAAAGCCACGGCUAACUACGUG
Molecule: ribosomal RNA, 497 nt
Filed under: uncultured bacterium
Lineage: Bacteria
Description: partial 16S ribosomal RNA
Rfam family: Bacterial small subunit ribosomal RNA
Source: RNAcentral